This 423-nucleotide ribosomal RNA is filed under the name uncultured bacterium. Its description in RNAcentral is "bacterial SSU rRNA". It matches the Rfam family "Bacterial small subunit ribosomal RNA", at positions 358 to 773 of the family's 1533-position model. The record is from RNAcentral.
GGAAUAUUGGACAAUGGGCGCAAGCCUGAUCCAGCAAUGCCGCGUGUGUGAAGAAGGCUUUCGGGUUGUAAAGCACUUUCAGUAGGGAAGAAAAGCGUUGGGCUCAUACCCCGGCGUCUUGACGGUACCUACAGAAGAAGCACCGGCUAACUCCGUGCCCGCAGCCGCGGUAAUACGGAGGGUGCAAGCGUUAAUCGGAAUCACUGGGCGUAAAGCGCGCGUAGGCGGUUCAGUAAGUCAGGUGUGAAAGCCCCGGGCUCAACCUGGGAAUUGCACUUGAUACUGCUGAGCUAGAGUGUGGUAGAGGGAGGUGGAAUUCCGCAUGUAGCGGUGAAAUGCGUAGAUAUGCGGAGGAACAUCAGUGGCGAAGGCGGCCUCCUGGACCAACACUGACGCUGAGGUGCGAAAGCGUGGGGAGCAAAC